RNAcentral lists this long non-coding RNA (427 nucleotides) under Gouania willdenowi (blunt-snouted clingfish). RNAcentral's name for it is "lncRNA (ENSGWIG00000014983.1)". Lineage: Eukaryota; Metazoa; Chordata; Actinopteri; Blenniiformes; Gobiesocidae. The record is from RNAcentral.
ACAAACUCGGGGUCAGAGCGGCUGCUCUGGUUUCUCACGUUUUUUCCACCUCAGUGUUUAGUUGUGUUUUAGUUGCGUUUUUCUUGCCAAAACUAUGGAUGAACAACGGGCUGCUGUGGAAAACACAGCGGGAACACGUUUGUUGGUGAAAGUGGAAGCUUUAGAGAAAACGCAUUCAUCUGCUGAUGAGGAGGACAAGCAGCGUCACAUCCAGAGACACGAGCACAAAGGGAUCUUCACGUUUGAUCCCGAGUCAAAAAUGGAGAAUCUCACUACGACGAGGGAAGAUUUUGCUGCUCCUAAAAAGCUGGGGGUGAGGACUCGAGGCAUCAGAGCAGAGCUUCUGGAAAAACAGAUGGCCCAGAUUAGUUGUGAGAAGAUGAAGGCUGACACGUACCCUACGACGCCUGAAAGCGUCUACCGCACC